UUUUUUUUUUUCCUUUGGUCCGUUCUUCAGAGGGAAUCAUGGGGAAGCAAGAAACAUGCCAUCAUUGUGGGGUCACAAGUGAGCUCCUGUUCUUAAAUAAGCUAGAAUUUUUCUCAUUUGUUUUCUUUUGUCUUGUUUGCACCCCUUUUUCCCCCUUGUUCCUCAGGAAUUAGUACUUUUCGGGUGAUGAUUUGCCCCAAUUAUGCAUCUGGGAACCAGGCCUUAGACGAAAUCUUUGAACUCCAUGGGACUUGGAUUCAUCUUUCUGUGUUCGUUGGUGACUAUUUUUUUCUAGAAUACGCAGGAGAGCUGCGUAUCAUUCGAUUAAGAGGAAAGGAAAUAGCCUUUUCUUACAACGCGGGUCAUUACCGGGCUCACGCACACGGGUUUUGAAAAAAGUCAAUUACUUUAGGAAACCUCCACAUCCAAUAUUUAUCGGGCGGUGUAGCUAUUCUAAACCAUUUCCUAGGAUCUAGAUGCCAUUUGCGGUGGAGCCGAACGUCCAUCCCGUCGUCGCCAAGCAUCUGGCACCUGCCGCCAGCCAAUUUGCCACUUCUUCUUGUAUGGCAAUUAGCAGCUCCUGUGGUGAUCUCUCCCUGGCCGUGGCAAAUGUCCUACCGUUUCUCUCUUUCCAAACCGCCCAUGAACACAUCAUAACGGUGGAAUCAAGUCCCUUGGCCCUUUUGUUAGAUUGAUCUCCUUCCCAAUGGGCCCAAAGGCCCAUCGGGACCCUGAUCCGCGCCCUGAUCGGGGGCGCUCACCCUAGCAAUGGGUGGUGGGCCCCUGUCGCGCUGCGCUAUAUAAACAGGGUGGGGGACCCGGCUCGGCUCACGAGGUUCGCCGCAGCCAGCCGCCCCACCGACACACCUACCGAUCUAGGUUUGCGCAGUAGCGGCGGGAAGCACCACCGCCACCUCACCGGCGACCGGACUCGGCACUGCGCGUCGCUGCCUUGCGCAGACUCCACCAAGCGAACCCGCGAUGGCCAGCAGCUCUGCUGCUCCCACCUCUAGGGGUGAAGGUACCCCUAUCUCUCUCUCUCACUCUCGGCACACACACACCAGGAACACUAUGACCCUCCUGUCUUUUAUGAUCCCGACUAGAUGUGCAUCUAGAGAUCUUAGGCACGGCCCUAACACCUUUGUCUUGGCAGCCUGCUUCUUUUCAUUGACCACCAUUCAAGCAAAGAUGUAUGUCCUGCCGUUAGUAUUAUUGGAAAGUUGAGCUGCAGGUCUAAUUGAGCCCAAAUUUGUUGGGUGUAGCUGCACUGCACAAAUAGAUGAGUGGUGGAUUCGAUCAUCUGGCCACACAAGGUAUCUGAGUUUUGAAGGCCAUGCCGUUUGCGCCGUUCUGCCGUCCAUAGCCUAUUCCGAACCGCCAGCCAGGUAAAGAACUUGACCUUCAGGGGAGCCCAGGUCCCCCAUAUGAACUUGUAUUCUGGCCAAUUUAUCCAUCCAAUGAAGUAAGCUUGGUAUGCGGAGCUCGCAAAGUAAACGCCGGAGCUCUUCCAGCGCCAAGUCACAUGAUCUGCUAUGCCUGGCUGCAACUGGACGUUGGCAAGUGCAUGCCAAAGAUGUACAUUUUGUGAUAAUGCAUUUACUGUAGCUCGUCCGACAACAUCCCUUAUCCAUCUUUUAUCAGUGAGAGCCUCUGCGACAGUUCGUUCUCUUCUUACUCGCGGUUUCACCAUGUGGCAAAGGUCUAGAUCCAGUGUACAUGGUGAGAGAUCAUUGAGCCAGGCGUCGCUCUAGAAGAGUGCCCGAUGUCCAUCUCCCAGUUGCACCCGUAUGGAUAAUUGGAACAUCUUGCGUAGGGCAUCAUCUUUGUCAAAACCUGCUGAGAGGUAUUUCCAUGGUCGAGCAUCAUCUGUUCUCGCGAACCACAGCCAACGUAAUUUGAGUGCCAUAGAUGCAGCUUUAAGGUCUGCAAUACCCAGACCGCCCCCAAGUUAAACGGUCUGCAGGCAGUUGGCCAUGCAACAGCACAUGUUCCCCCUUUUGCAUUUUCUUUUCCAGCCCAGAGGAAGCCUUUUAUUCUCUUGUCAAUCUGUUGGAGGACCCAAUCUGGCACAUCUAAGGAGAGAAUGGUGUGGGUGCAAACUGCUGUCAUAACCGCUUUAACCAUAGUUAGUCUGCCCCCUUUGUUCAUCAAAUGUGCUUUCCAGGUCGGUAUCUUGCUGGCCACUCUGUCAAUCAGGUACUGGAAAUGUGCCCUCCUCAAUCUUGUGAUAGAAAGUGGCAGACCCAGGUAUUGUAUUGGGAAGCUAGUAACUUGUGCAGGGAAAAGACUAGUGACUCUAUUAAUCUGUGCCUCAAAACAUGAUAUCGGUGCAAUGACACUCUUCUGGAAGUUGAUUUCCAAUCCAGAUGCACAGCCGAAGAAGGUGAGGAUCUCUUUUAUCGUGAUCAUGUCCUGAGCUGUUGGUGCUGCAAAUAUUACCACAUCAUCGGCAUAUAGAGAGCACUGAUGGUGGAUGCCCCUGUCAGCCGGUGGGGAAAGAACUCCUUGCUGAACGGCAUACCUGAGGAGUCUAUGCAGCACAUCCAUCACGAGAAUGAACAGCAUGGGGGAUAGGGGGUCGUCCUGCCGUACCCCUCGUGCAUUGUGAAUUGUUCUUCCCGGUGUGCCAUUUAGAAGAACUCUUGUCGACGCCGUGGACAAGAGUAUAGAAAUCCAGUCCCGCCAUUUUUCUCCAAACCCCCUCGCCUGGAGCACCUGAAUCAGGAACGGCCAGCACACUGUAUCAAACGCUUUUGAUAUGUCCAAUUUGAUUAGGAGGCUUGGUUUCUUUUUCCCGUACAAAGUCUUGGCCGCCAGUUCAACAAAUUUGAAACUGUCAUGUAUGGAGCGCUUUUUUACAAAUGCACUUUGGUUAACAUCCACAAGUCUGUGCAGUUCUGGUGCUAGUCUGUUAGACAGCAACUUGGCCAGCAUCUUAGCAAAGCUGUGCACCAGACUUAUGGGUCUGUAGUCCGCCGGCGAGGUGGCAUCUUGCCGUUUGGGUAUGGGGGUAAUUAGCGCUGUAUUGAGACGACCAAAUUGUGCACAUGUCCUCCUGUGAAAUGCGUUGAAGGAGGCUAUUAUGUCAGCCUUGAUAAUUGGCCAGGCUGCUCUGUAAAAUUCAGAUGUGAAUCCAUCUGGCCCAGGUGCCCGUUCAUUUGGCAGUUCUUUGAUUGUGUCCCAUAUCUCCUUUUCCGAGAACGGUGCAUCCAGAUGGGUGAGCUCGAACUGCUGGAUGCCAAUGGUUGGCAUGUCCACAGCUGCGGUUCUAGAUGACGGUGUACCUAAAAUAGCAGCGAAGUAUCUGUGGAGGAUGUGCUCCUUGUCCUCAUGCGCAAGCGCAACUUCACCAUCCAGUUGCAGGGUGGAGAUGUAUUUCUUCUUUGUACGGUAGCUGGCAUGGGUGUGGAACAGCUUCGUGUUAGCAUCUCCAUCACGCAGAAAGAGUAACCUCGAUCGCUGCUGUGCCAUGGUUCUCUCAAAGGAAGCCAAUCCAAGUACUUUGCAUUUUAACUGUUUCCUCAGGAUCCCCUCCUCGGUAGUGAUUGUCCUGCAGUCCUGCGCCUGGUCAAGCCAAAGGACCAAGGCCUUAGCCAUCAGUAGUUGCGACCUGAUGUCGCCUACCUUCUUGCUGCUCCAGCUUUGCAGUGCUCUCGCCGUUGCUUUGAGCCAUUUAUCGUUGGUGACUAUUAUUACUAUGAAUUCACUGAAGUGAUAUGGCUGUUAGAGAAAUAUAUAUGUGGACAUGGUUCAUAUUUCAGAAGCCUUUGCCCGUAAAUUCUGAACAUUAUGAACAUAUUAUAACAUGCUCACGGAACACAUUUGGACUUGUGCUUGACUACGGUGGAUAUGCACUUCUUAGAUAACUUCCGCAGAUAAUGAGAGAUUAGAUGGUUUCUUUCAAAAAAAAAAAUUCUCAGAGCAUGUUGCACUAGAUAAGCCGAUGCUCUUCAAUGCAUGUGGCUUCGAGAUGGAAAACGAAGGGUUCAUCGGCAAACCACACCCCGAUGCAUCACAAGGAUACGAUGAAUUGGUUAAUUUAUGUUCUUAAAUUUAGCACUAAUUCACAUCUUAUUCAAGCUUCAAACGUGGUCACAUUUUUUAUCUAAAAGGUGUUGGUUACUGAUUUUUUUAUAUUUAGAAUUAGAAAUUGGCACGUGCAUCUAUGCUAGUUUCAAUAAUUAUUCAAAAAUAAAAUAAUAAAGAGGAUAUGCUGGAGCACUAUUUUUUCACUACCUCUCUCAAUAUAUUAGUUGGAUCGAAGAAUGUGCAUAUGCUCUAAGUUUGUGGGUCUGAUUAGGUAGGUCUUGUUUGGAAGACUUGCAAAUUAUUUCACCUGAUCCCGUAUGUAAUUUCUCGUGCACAAGAAAACAACUGUAACAUGAUUCCCCUAUGCAAAAAUGAUGAUUGGAUAAAUUUUGAAGAAAAAGAAUAAGAAACAAACCAUUGAAGAACAAGUGGUGGUGAUAGCGAGGGAGACGGGGAGGAGAGAAAUUGAUCGACGCACUCGACUUCUGUCAGAAAAUAACUGUGGCCUGGCAAUUCUUUUUUUUAAAAAAAAACUGGGUGUGAAGGGCUCUUAUACCGGCGUGAUAUAAGUUUUUUUUUCCCACCCGGAUAAUUUUCCGAGCCGAUAACUUACCACCAGUUUUAGGUUCCAGCAUCCCAAACAGGAUCGAUUUGUAAAUUGUAACACGUAUAGUACAUCUCGGCCACCAACGGCCUCCUUCAAACGCGCGGGCCAAUUUGGCUGAGAAUGGCUGAGAAAGAGGACAAGAUGCCGUCGCGGUGCCUCGCCGCUGCCGCCGCCCCACGCGCUCGAGCGAAAAAGAGAAGAAAAAACCGGUGCGGGGCCUCGCCGCCGCCCCAGCCGCACGCGAUCGGGCAGAGAAAAGGAGAGGAAGAAGCCGGUGUGGGGCUUGCUUUCUAAAUCAAAUGCAAGAACUGAAGGCAUAAACUCCCAAACCAAUCUGGUUUGGUUACAAAAGACGUUCAAGUUGUGAACAUUUGAAAAUACAACCAAAUCCUAGAUCUGACUUGGUUACAAAAGAAUCUGGUUUGGUUACAAUAUAUGUUCAAAACGAGGCCCCAUUUGCAAUGUGGGGUGUUGUAAGACAAGUAUAAAUUCCUCUAAAUUCACAAGACUGGCAAGUGCUCCUCUGAAAUAGAGCCAUUGAACUGGGUAACCUAUAUACACUCUACUGAGUUUGCUGAGCAUACCAAUUUCCAGAGGGAUAAUCCCACAAGCUUAUUAGCAGAAGCUGAAGAAUGCUCAGAUUAGUCCAUGAUUUUUUUUUUAGGGUCAACGGGGGGAGAUCCCCACCUGAUUUCAUUAGGACCUUGAGCAGGCCAAAGGUCUUGUACACUGAUGUUUUAGCAGAGAAAAACUAGGGAUAGGGGGGAAAAUUUACAUUCUUAUGUGGGAUUACAUGGAAUUAAACAUUGAGCACCAGACGUCGGCUACCAGACGGUCUUCCCGUGAGAAUCGCCGGCUCCAGAGACGGGCUUCGUCCCUGCAGCUGAGCUAGAAAGUUGAGUGGCAUGGUUGUAUGUGUUGGAACACCAGGUCGUUGCGUUGCUUCCAGAGCAUCCAACUGACGAGCAGCAGUAGCGUGUAGAACUGACGGCUCGGUACCAUUGCCGGACGACCUACAGUCCACAGGGACUUAACUGAAGCCCCUUCGAUUUGGAAGCCCAUUGCUCUCCAGACAUGCGACGAGAAACCGCACCAGAAGAUGAUGUGAUCACAGUCCUCCGUGUGCCCACAGAGCUCGCAAGAGGAGUUGUCGAUGAUGUUUUUUCGUACAAGGUUUGCUCGGCUCUGAAUCCGUUCCUGCACUAAUAGCCACCCAAAGAACUGUACAUGCGGGGGUGCGCGAUUUCGCCAGACGAACUGAGCGAAGUUAGCUUGCGCUGAACCUGUUGCAAUCUUGAGCUUUGAAUAGGCGUCGGCAGAUGACAGUUGACGGUGAUCUCGGCUGCUUGGGUAAAGCCGCUGGUCUUCCUCUGCACUUAGGGAGACCUGAGCCAGCAGUUGAGAUAUCUUAACAAGUUCAGAUUCAGCCUGGAGCGACAGCCGCGCAGUGAGGUGGGUUGUCAGGCCAUCGUUCCGAACUUGUGCCACUGUUUCAUUCUGGUUGACCGAGUGAGUGUGGAGUUUCGGAAACAUGUCACUGAGACGGCCUUCGCUUAGCCAGCGAUCGUGCUAGAAAUUGGUGUUCCUUCCAUUUGACACAGCAGAGCAAGACAGAGACUGGUAUACUGGAAGUAGUUCUUGCAUUCCUUUCCAAUGUGGGCCACUGAUAUCCCCACUUAGGUCGUGCAGCUGAACGAGCCCUCGCACCCAACGUGCCCAGGAGGAGCCAUUCGGGUGGUGGAGGCGGUGAAGUAGCUUGAGAAGCAGACUUCUGUUUUGCAUUGCCAGGUCUUUCAGCCCCAGCCCACCGUGUUCCUUGGACUGGCAAGUUCGCUCCCACGCAACUAGGCAUUGAGCGCCAGAGACCGUGUCCUCACCAGACCAUAAGAAACGUCUUCGUCGGCUAUCCAGUGCAGCAAUCGUGCCAGGAGGGAGCAGCAGUACUGACAUGGCGUAUGUAAAGCUACUAUCAACCACACUGUUGAUGAGAACAGCUCUGCCCGUUGCAUUCAGUAAAGAGGCUUUCCAACCGCUGAGCUGCCUGUCAACCCGAGCUAUCAGGGGACUGAACGCCGAGAGUUUGAGCUUUUCAUGGGACAAAGGUAACCCCAAGUAGGUCUGGGGGAAAGUAUCAAGCUUACAUCCAAGAAUUUCCUGGAAUUCUGCUGCUGAGGAGGGUGGCACAUGCAUGGGGACCAUAGUACUUUUGUGGUAGUUUAUUUGCAAACCUGUUGCUGCUGAGAAUCGGUCCAGGACCUGCUUGAGCGCGGUGAGUCCACCCUGAUCAGCUUUGAGCAGCAGCAAGGUGUCGUCAGCAUACUGCAACGCCGGGUAUGGUUGGUUCGUUGCAGCUGGGUGUGAGAUCCUUGUGUCUGCCUGGACCAUUUGCUGUAGAACAUCGGCCACCAGCAGGAAAAGAUAUGGGGAAAGAGGAUCCCCUUGCCGGAGGCCCCUCCCACAAGCAAACCACGGUCCUGACACUCCAUUCACCAGUACUGAGAGCUUCGAGGUCCUGGCACUCCGUUAGUCCAUGAUUUAUCCAGUAUGGAGUUUCCGCACUGAAUUUUCUGUGACACACUACUGGGGAAAUAAAUAUGGUGCAUGUCAUUCUGCUGUAAAGAGAAAUGUUUAAUGACCAUGGCAAAUAAACUAAUCACAGAAAAUGCAUCUCAAUAGGUAGCAGUAUUUUUGCAAUUCUGUAGCUCUAACAGCACUGGAGGUUUACGGAGCUUACCUUGAAUACAUUACCAGGAAGUAUCAUAGAGUUCAGUUCUUGAAGGGUUUAAUAAAAUUGAUCAACCACAAAAACAUAAUGCUGUACUUGAUUCAAACAGUAAACUGCGCUGCAGUAGCAUCAAAGUCUAUUGUGGAUAGAGCAAUACUGAGUCAAACAAAUUAAUGCACAACUUAUAACACAUACAACGCUUGUUAAUGCACAAGUAUAAAAAAGUGAAAUUACUAGGUCCGAAGAUUGACCUGUCUUAGGUCUUCAAUACUACGGAUGCAGACGAGGGGUUGUAGGCCACAAGUUCCAGCAAAAAUCGAAUUUUGGUUCCAGCCAUCUCAUACUAUAAUCUGUUUUGCAGAAAACCCGCAGGUCACAUUCAGCACACAAUGGCAAAGAACAAGGGGAAGAAAUGUAGAGAUGUGUCUUCUAAAUUGCCGAGAGUGAGUCAUUUAACUCCUACCAGUCAGCUCCUUUGGUUUUUGUCAUCAUUUGUUAGUUGCGUGACUGCAAUGGUUUACUUGCAAACAGAAUAUGGUAACCCUUCGGCUAGAUGGAAGUGAGGAAGAAUUUGGCAGCAGAUACUACAACUGUCAGCUUUAUUACCGCUACUGGAUACUUUGCCACUCAGCAUUCCGUGUGCAGUAUGGUGCCAGACUCAUGUAUACUACACCGGAAGCAGGAACAUUCUUUUAUGUGGUGCAGUACGAGCAACACUAUGUAACCUUGGUCAUUGAUGCCCGACAGGGCUGGCUGCUUGGCUUCAUGAACGCCCAAGGUGUAUUUCAGAUGCAGCUUGAGGAUACGGCAGAUCUUUACAUGGACACAGUGAACUGUCAGCUGCUUGAUUUUGUGGGAAACCACUCUCAGAUCUCCCCCAGUGCACCAGAAACACAUGGAUCAGCUUGCGCUGGCUGAGGCGCUGUGUCAUGAGGUGGGAGUCGAGGAGGAGAAACAGCACGGUGGCUGUGGCCCAGCCGCCCCGCAGGAAGCGGCAACGGGCCGCCGCCAGGGGUCGGAGCCGCCGAGCAGCGCCUCCAGCCGCCGCAGCGCGUCCCGUCGUGCCGUGGGUCGCGCGCAUACACCGUCAUCGCACCCCGCUGCCGCCUUGGGCCACUGGUGUCGCCUCCGCUCAUCGGGACAGCACGCCCCGCCCGCAUGCGCAGGUGGAUUUAUACAUCGAGUGGAUCUGCCGGCAGGUGUUCGAAUCCGUGGGCACAACCCCAAAAACUGCUGCUUUUUUUUUGACACGUUGAAACGGACUUACUCACAAAAUGAACACAACGGCGCGGCGUCGUCAUCCACGACGUCAGCUGCCGCGAUCGACCUCGUCCACGACGUCAGCUGCGCGGUCGGCGGCGGUCCUGGUCGUGGUCGGCGGAGUCGUGGCUCCUCACGACAGGACAGCAUAGACAUUAUUAUUACGCUGUAUCCCUAGAAAAAUCAAAACGAUCUACAAUUUGAAACGGAUGAAGUAUUUUUAGAGUAGUAAUAUCUAAUCUAAGUUAAAAAAAGAAAAAAAGUCUACAAUCAGCUUGGGUUUACUCUAGUCUCGGUCCACAGCUCUAUGAAUUCCCAACUUAUUGCAUGUAGUUUUAUGACCAUGCAAAGCAGCAACAAGUGGAAAAUAAAUUCAGAAGCAAAUAUCAGAUCGUCAGAUCCAAGAUAUCAUAACAUAGACCACCAUUAUAUUUAUUUAACAUCUACUAAUAUAUAUCCAAUAUAUAUCCGUAGUUGACGGUUGCAUCCAUCAACGGAAUAAUUACAUGAUCGUACCAAUAAGUACAAUUCCCCUCUACCUAAAUAAGGUUAUUAUCCUAAGAGCAAUUUAAAACUAACAAGACUGUACCCACUACCCCUAGUGCUAACGUUGACGCAAACCAUCCAUGCUCCGAUCCUCUUGGUAGUUGCUACUGCUAUGACAUAUAUUACCUGAAGACAAAACGAAAAGGAUAUUAGGUGGCGAUUACAACACAAAUUGCAACAAAUCAUUCAGAAUAAGGUGUGUCAAAGAACAUAAAUCACCUAAUUGGUGACGCUGGAGGAUUGGCAGGCACCAGCGCCGCCAUUGGUGGCAUUAUCGGCGGCACUUGUUGCGCUGUCAAAACAUAUCACACCAUGCUGUUGUCAAUCUCCUUGCAGGCAUAUCUGAUCCACGGAUCAAAAUAACGUUCGGAUGACAUAUGCAUGAAGAAAAAAGUUGCAAAAAACUUACUGUUGCAGGAGAAGAGUGUUUGGAGCGGCAGCAUGGCACCGCAGGUGAGCGGGAGGAUGAUCAUGCGGACGGGGUCGAUGGGCAGGGGCAUGAGGUCGUUCAUGUCGCCAGUCAUGCCGUGGCAGAGGCAGAUGGGGGCGUCGCGGAUGACUGACUUGAGGCCGUCGCAGCACUCAGCGGGAGGCGCCAGCACGCUAAGGUUGGUCAGGUAGUUCAUGCACGGCAUCAUGCCGAUCAGCGACGUCAUGCACUCUGUCAGCUGAGCCGGCGGCGACGGUGGCGGCGGGGACGAAAGGUGGGGUGGGACGGCGCCGCCGGACGAACUCGGCGACUGCGGCGGGGUGUUGUGGAACGUCGAGGGGUGGAGCAGUUGGUCUCCCCUGAUUCUCGCUUCGGACGGCUGCACCGUCGUCGCUGCCACCACGGCGAAGGCGAAGAAGAGGGCGACGAGCUUGCAGGAUGCCAUUGGUCUUUUGCCUUGGGCGUGUGCUUGGGAUGCUAUGGCCGUGGGCUUGUGGCUGAUUUCGUGUUGGAUGGAUGGAGGCGCGGGUUGGUGUGAAAUUUAUAGUCCUCCUGGUGUCGAGAUUGAGGAUUUGACCGUGCUGUUGUAUGAAUUUUGGACUUCAGUACUGCUGCUUCUAAACUCUGCAUUGGUCGUUUAUCUUCAGGUAGGCAACGAGUCCAUGAAGCAUAAGGUUCUAUCUGUAGUUUCUUGUGCCUCUACGGGUGAUGCAAAAGGAGGUACAGAGUGCAAACAAUCCCGUCGAGUGCAAACAAUCCCGUCGAGAAGGCGACGGUGUCGCCUGAAGCUUGAGCGGGCCGCACAGGGAGGUGGAAGCUUGAGCGGGCCUCGCACGGAGGAGGUGGAAGCAGUCCCGAUCAGGAGGAGGGUUUGAAGCAGGCUGCGAAAGCGCGCCUAGCGGGCCAAGCGAGAAGGUUUGGCUGGCCUGCCUCAGUUUCAUACUGGGCCUUAAGCUUUUGCUAUCGGUUCAUUAUUUUAUUACAGCUCGAAUGCUCCAUCAAAUUAUUGCGGGAAUGACUCUAUUUGCGUGAAUGACUUUACUAGGAUGAUGGUUGGCGCGCUAACGCCGCGCCCGUAGAGAAGCCGCGUAUGAUCUGUGUUGUCAGCAUUAGUGUAGACAUUAUGCCUUAAUAGUUGUAUUUGAGUGUAGCUUUUAAAGGUCCAGCUAUGAACAAUGCAGAAGGUAUGAAUCGUAGUUUAUAAGUUAUAACCAUAAAUUUGGCAGCAUAACUAAUUAUUCAGAUUGCCAAAGACUAUGUGUCGAUUUGCAAGAACAAUCGACUAUAGCAUUGCACAUACACAAAAUGUAAUACAUAACAGUAGCAUCCGUGUAGGCAAGCCAAAGAUCAACAAUGCUUAGAAAAGAUAGGCAACGGCUUGCCCCUGCGGCGCCAGCAGCGAGCGCGCGCGGGUGUUGCGGCCUCCAGUGGUGGUGGCGUCACAGCACGUGGGGUGGUCUGCGGCGGCGGCGUACGCUGUGGCUGUGGCCGCGCGCGCUUCGUGGGGGCCGGCGCCAGGACUUGCUGCCGCUCCCUUCCACUCCCCCUCGCUACCACCGGAGGGGGCGAUGCUGCUAGCGACUUCGGCAGUGGUCGGCGGCCCUGGUCCGGCACGCGCACACCGGAUCCACUCUGGAGGGCGCAGUCCAAGGUGCGGCGGUGCUCGGCUCGCGACGUUCGAGUCGAGUUGCGAUGGGGUGGCUGAAGCAGGGGGAGUGGGGCCGCCAGUAUGAGGAGAUGCGGAGGAGGCACCAGAGGAGGAGACGCGGAGGAGGUGCAGAGACCGGCAGCAGCUUGUGGAGAAUAGCGACGCGAAGGAUGGCGGCACGGAGAUGCCACCGGCGCGGAGGAGGUGCUGCGCGCAGGCCGCACGCGGGGUAGCGCAGGGCGCGGUGCGUGGAGGAUGAUUGCCGGCGAGCGAGCGGACGUGGAGGUUUGGCGGCGUGGUGCGAGGAGGCGCGGCGCCGCCGCCGCUCUAGAUGAAUUGUUGUGACUAUAGCUGGGAGUGCCGAGCCGUGAGCGUGCAGGGGUUGGGAUGCUCCAAGCGAAAGCCCUUGUCGGCCUUCUUGCUGGUGGAGAUGAUGGUGGCACCCUAGGGUGUCGUUUUCCCCGUUGGGGGCAUCAUUUCUGAGCUACAACCCUGCUGCACAGGGUCCUCUGGGUGAAAACCCUGUCCAAUUUAUGGACGAGCGACGGCGGCGCUAUUGGCACCGUGCUCUCCUUGGAGGCGUCGUCUCUAGAUACCCAUCUCGGUCUGUGGCAUUCCUGGUUCAUUAGUCAUGGACGACCGCAGCUGGUGGCAACAAUUCCGCCGUGUGGCAAGUUGGAUGGGUGUUGCUAAGGCCACGUGGAGGCGAUCGCAGUUAUGGUAGCGGCAAGAGGUUGUCGCAUGGCUGUCGGUCUUGGCCGCUUGUAGCGGACCACGGUGGCUGGCGUUGCUUGGCAACGGUCAGUGCGGCGUGGGAUUGCGUCGGAGGAUGGCGCUUGCGGCAACAACAUCGUGGGACAACUAGGCAUGCAGCGGACCGCGGCGGGGUGCUCAGCUUGGCUGGGCUACUUGGUACGGUACAUUGUCGAAAGAUGGCGCAAGCGACUUCUUUGGCUUGCUUACAUGGCGGUGGAUGCUUUUGCAUGUACGAAGCAACGAGGCGAGGUCGACCUGAAGCGCCGGCUUGGCUAAUUGACGGAGAUCUUGUGGAGGAGGGCAAUAUUGCUCACCACGCUGACAACGAUAAAAAACCCGGAUCCGGGACGUUGAGUACUACGGCGGGUGUGGCGAGGCCCUCGCACGUGGCGUUUCUUCGAGGCGAUGAGAGUGAGGUGGAGUCCAACGGCGGAUGUGGCGAGGCCCCCACGCGUCGUGUUAUCGCGGUGGCGACUGCAAGGCAGCCUGCGAGAGGUCCGGAUUCGAUGGUAUCACUAUGCCAGGUGGAGUGUCGUGUUGCAGCGGCACUACAGCGAAGGAUCCCGCAUGGUGGUGGCCUUCUCGACGCGGUGCAGCCUGCUUCUAUCGGUUCCCUGUCGACGUCGGGCCACGUUUGGAAGUUUUGACGAAUUAUGAGCAGGGAUGUUGGUAGGUGCCGCUGUGGCGAGUGGAGUGAUGAUGCCGCGUUGAUGUCCCAAUCCAACCGGUUGGGGGUAGUAGUUUUUGAGUUGAGUGGCUACCCGCGUUGAUGUUCCAAUCCAACCGUGCGAGUUCAUUUUCUUUUCUUUUCAUUUUUCGUAUCCAGCCUGGAACUCCUUCUUUUUAAUAUAAUCGACAGCUCUCCUACCUGGUUCGUUUAAAAAAAAAUUGAAACCAAGUCGGAUAUUGAUCUAAAAAGAUUUUUCCUAAGAUAAAAGGGGACUCUGGAGUCGGGAUAGGCAAAAGAAGCUUGCAGGAAACCCUUUCCUACCUAAAGCCGAAUCGAAUGGUUGAAGGAUAGAAAUGAGAUGUCUGCUGUCAUAAAACAUAACAUGUUGAGAACUUAGCAGCGUAUGAAGCAUCAGGCUGACAAGAAAAGAUAGGAAAGAACAUUUGAAGUGGGUGACUGGGUGUAUGUCAAGUUACAAUCUUAUGUCCAUAUGUUAGUAGCCAAGAGAUCAAACCAAAAACUGAGUUAAGUUCUUUAGAUCCUACCUGAUAACAUAGAAAGUGGAGCGUGUAGCAUACAAACUGCAAUUACCUAACACAAGCCAUAUUCACCCAGUCAUAUCUGUAUCACACCUGAAGAAAGCUCUACCUCCUAGUACCAGGGUGAGCAAUGAUGCUAAUCUCAAUUGUAUCCUUCAAACAACUGUAUGCCAUCCUGUGCAGGUUGUUCAGAGUUGACUCCAGAAGGUGGGUAACAAGAUGAUUCCAUUCCUUUCGGACUGGUGCAAUGGCAAGAAUUGCCUCCAACCUAGGCUACUUGGGAGAAUCUGCACGCCUUGAAGGUAAGCUUCCCUUCCAUUGAUGAUAGCACUGUGGGGUGAUAGUCGUUGCUUAACAAGUUCCAUUGAUGCCUGGUGUUCUGAUUCUAUUCGAGAGUUUUCAACUUGAGAACAAGUUGCUUCUUAACAGGGGGAACGUUACCGUCUACUGUUUAUGGGCCCAAGGCCAUGCAAUAGCAAGAGCCGGCCUGCGUGCCGUAGCUGGGCCUCCGGUCCUGUAACCCGUUAACGGCCCAUGGGCUGCCGGUAAAGACCCAGAGCUCGAGAACGAAGCGUAACGAAGAACAGAAACCUAAACUAUCUGUCCCGUCUUCUCUCCCCUUUCGACCCUGCUCGAGGCGGCGCCGCCGAACUCACCGCCGUGCGCGACGCCGGCAACCCCCUCCUCGCUACCUAGGCUCGUGACAGUCCGUAGACUUACAAGAAGGCAAUAUACACCCCGUCGUGUACCAAAAAGAAAAAGAAAAAAAAAUACGGACGGGUUUGGCCGUUUGGGCUGCUUUUGCCCAUGUCGGCCUUGGCCCAUUCCAACAGACUGAUUGGUUUGGAGACCGCUGCUUCGCCUCCGUCUGAAGAAACCCUAGCGCCCGCCGCCUCCAAAUCUCUCCGACUCUUCUAUAUAAACUGACCUCCCGGUGAUGCCCCAGGUACCCGCAGCCCUAAACCCUAGCCGCCAUCGAUCGCACCGAGCUCGCUUUGUUCUCUUCCGGCGUGUUAAUCUCGUCUCUUCUCGAUUUUGCUUUCUUUCGCGCUGCGAUGGACUCUUUGCGUGGGCUGAUGAUGAUUUGGAUCCGAAAGGAUCUUAGCGGAUUUCGGUGAGGCGGAUUCAUCCGCCGUUGAUCGUUUUCAUGUUGUUACACACACUGAAGCCCUGUUGUCCCGUCGCGCAGAUCGAUUUGUUUCUCUUCUUGCCCGUUGUUUUUUGUUUCUUUUUGUUCGAUUUUAUUGACGUUGGGCAAAAGGAUCUCUGUUUUUACCGCUCUCUGAGAAAAAAAAAGAAAUCCGCUGGGCAAUGCGAUGAUGAGUUCAUAAAAGGUUGAGGCAGUGGUGGCCUUUUAGGUCACCGUGAGCCGGCAAACCAAAAAACGACUUCUCUUUCCACUGAGCAUUGUGUUCAUCGGCACAUCCCUUCGUUUGUUCUUCCUUGCAAUACAAUUUUUUUUCCUAUUCUGAUGGCGGCUGAUGCAUUUGGAUAUCGGUCCCCAUCGGUAAUCCAAACAAUUGCAAGCUCUGUAUCGACGUGGUUAGAGAAUAACGGCGAAGGAUUUGAAGGACGAAGCAAAAGUUAACGCAAAUCCUCAAUUUUUAAGGAGAAUGCCACACCAAUUCUAAAGUAAAAAAUGGGCUAACUAUUUUAACGAAAAUUCCGGGUUCAUUGGUUUAAUUUAACAAAAUUUCCAGGUUCUGUUGCUACUUGUCGAAUAGUUCGCAACUAGCCAACAAAAUCAAAAUAAUAUUCAAGUUAGCAAAAUUUACAUAUUCUACUGCCACUGCUCGUACACAGCAUUUAUUUAGUUGAAUGCAUAGCAGAUUUCUUGUCUGCCGCAUGAAAGCAAAUUUGCAUCAACAAAACGGAUUAUUGGCACUGCCGCACUGGCACGGCAAUUUCAAUUUCAACAGGAUAUGCUCAAGAGUUAAGCUGACAGAUGGCUACGUUGACAGAACAUGCUCAAAGAGAAGCUUGUUGUAAUCACAAGCGCAAUCAGAUUCCAAAGGCUGCUUCUGCGAAGAGCUUUAUUUGCAAGAACUCUUGGAACUCCCACUGAACAUUUUCUGAUUGCAACAAAAGCAAAAUGAAAUCCUCUGAGCACAACACCAUUUAUGUUCUGCCAAUACGCAGAUAGUUUUGAUUUCAGAAAAUAAAGUUUGCAAUUUGACAGGAAAACAAAGUUUGCAACUUCACAGCUUUUUCUACAUGUUGAGCGGCAUCCACUCCAUUUCCAGCUCUAGUUCCCCGGACUCCGUGUGCUGCAGUUUCAGCGAUACCCCUUGCUUCACCUUGCCACCGGCGACCACCACGGCGCUGUCCCUGACGAGCGCGUUGUCCUCAGACUUGAGCCACCGGCCGAUCUGCAUGUCGCCCAGCAGCUCCGGAUUACCGAACGCAGCAGCGGCGUUGAUCAUCGUCUGCAGGUCAAUCUCGGCCUCACCCAUGAGAUCAUCCUUGGACAUCAUGUCGUGAUCGAACACUUGCUGUUUGCAUUGUUGUGUUGUGGGAGAGUAAAGGAGAAUAACAUUGGUUAUUUGAUGAGGCAUUCUCAAACUCAGGUGCAUCAAAAACAUCAAAAUCCAGAUAGCAUUAUCAGAUUCAUGUUAAUUACCAGCUUCAGAGGUCCAUAUUCCCGAGGAACAGAGAGCUUCAGUUCUUCAUUCCAGACAGGAUUCAGGUUGCCUUUGAUUACAGAAGAUUGUACUUUCUGCACUCAACAAGGGCGUGCUGAAAUUUGACAACAAAGAAUACUUGUUUAUUCUGUUAGAAAUAUGACAAACGGACCAAAAUUACCUGAUGCCCAAGCGUCAGGACCACAUAUGGGUCACUACUUGACAUGUCCCUGAUGGCUAGGUUGGUGCCUCCUAUCACCUUGACAUUCAAUAUUCCGAUGAAUUCAAUCAUGCCGAUCUGCAAUUUUUUUUUUUAAAAAAGAAUUACAGAACACGCUAAAUACUGAAUAAGAAAGUGAACGUCUUGUAAUAAAUGUUAGGUUCUGUGACAGCUUACUUCACUCUUGGAACCAUCAGAAUGGGAGGCACUGCCUGCAUGCUUUCCACAGUCAUCACUAGUAUGAUGAGAGACAAUCCGCAGGCUUGGCUUCAGAAAUUCCUGCAGCUCAUAUUUUGACCUGAAACAUUGGGAAUGUAUGCAUCGGUAGUAGUGACUAUGACAGUAACAAUAUGGAGCUCGUUAGUACGCUACACUCUUGAAUCGAAAUGCCUUCCGAAGAUCAAGUUUGUAAAGCAAAUAACAAUCCUCAAACAGCUUGCUGAAGUUUCUUGUGCUCAUUGAUAAAGAAAAAUCAUUUCCAAAUAAUUACAUACCUGAUGAACUUUUCUCUCUCUUCCUGGCUAGAAUCUGGAUGUGGCUUCUGGUAGCCCUCUGGCAGAAAAGCCUCAUAUAUUGCAUUGGCAUUUGAAUUCCCACCAACUUCUAUCAUUGACUCAACUUCAUUGUCAGUCCACUUAUCUAGUGUUACUGACAGAACCUGUGCCAGAAAAAUAACAGGUUAAUUGUGAUAUUAUGGCUUAAUUGCAAUAUUUCCAUAUAUGAACUAAUACUAAGAGUUAUUUAUAUAGUUACAACUUACAAAUAUUUGCAUUGCUACUAGAAGGCUAGUAAGCUAGGGGGAAAAACCUUCUGGUACGAUUGUAAUUUCAAAAAAUAGAAACAAAAAGGAAGCGUGUAAAGUUAUCUAGGUUGCAAGUAGGGAAACCUUUGAAAUAUGUGUACCAAGACUUCUGUGGACGCCAGAACAUUUUACACAAAUGAAUACCCCAAUAUUGGCUGAUCUGCAAGGAGAAAACCCAUUUACUUUUGUGAGGGUUGUGUUUCACAAAAGCUAGAAGCAAAUGAUUCUGCAUAUUGCAUACAAACCUGAUCAUGUUGAAAACGAAAAGGGUGUGAAACAGACAAAUACACUUCAGAUUUAUAAUGAAAUAUUCUAUUCCUAAAAAAUAUUGCGGGGUUAUGAAUAACGAGUUAUUUCAUUAUAUAUUCCGCUGAUAUGUCAUCUACACAAGCACUAACAGAGCCCAAGAAGGGGAUAUUCAAGCUCAACCAAAUCACUCAGAGGGUGAUUCAAGGUCAUGCAAAUACUUACGCCCAUUUGGGAUCAGGCACGCUGCAAUCAGCACAAAUGCGAUUUUCACUUCUGUGCAAUAACUCCUUCAGCUUUGCCAUCAUAGCUGCAAGGCAAAGAUGCAAUUGAAUCCAUAGUGCAAUACACACGGCUGCUUUGAACUUACUUUAAACAAUACUUCAGAGAGAACCAGUGUGUUACUAUACAUAUGCUGCAGAAUGACCAAGAUCAGAAAGCCCUCAGAGAAAAUUAUGUAUUUAUAUUUUUGGUUGGACAUGUGUGUGUCGUCACUAAUGCAAAUGUCAUUUGUCAAGCAUUUCCUUGUGACGCUGGAAUUUCCAGCUUGCUCCUUUAAAGCAGUAGCAAGAAGAGAAGGCCAUUUGCAGUAUACCUGAGGCCCCUGUGUCGCCAUGUCCUGCACUCAUCUUCUUGCUGUCACCUGUCAGAAAGGCCAGCUCCAAAUGCGUCAAACUGUAGUGAUCCUGCAAAGAUAAGGCAACAAAUCAACAAUAGCUUGAAGUGUCUCUGAGAAAUUCAUACGAAUACAAAAAUGCAAAGGAAACAAUCAUCUGAACUCUCAAGAACACCAUUGAGCGGAAUUACUGAUAUCGUAGGAUCCUUAUUCCUAUCCAGUAUCCACACUUGAGUGAUCCUCAUCUCAACUCGAAUGCGCUUCUCAAUGCAUAAAUUUUCCAAAGAAAUUGGAAUGAAGCGCAGGUGCCAACCGAAUCUCUCGGAGAGGAAUCACAAUUCGGCAAAGCAUCCCACCUACUACUCAUGCGCUUCUUGGGGCCGGUUGCACCAGAGAUCCAGAACCGAAGAAGAAACGGCAGGAUUGCUUACCCUGAGAGAGAGGCCGGAUCAGCUCCGAUAGUCCGAUUCCUUCCGACCUUCCGCCUCCUGGCCUUGAGGUCGAGGGGUUGGGGCUGCAGCGCUGAGAUCUCCCUCCUACUAUCGCAAGAACAGGUGGUCCACGUGGCUUGGUCGGCCGUUCACACGUGCGCCACUGUGGAUAGCAGCCAGAUCCCGGCUUAAUGAGAGGCUGAUGAGUAGGCCCCAGCUGCAGGCUUUCGCGUUUUCUAGCCAACUUGUCGUUCUUGCUUUCCUGGUAACGGUACAAUGAUUUUUCCUUUCAGCCGUCCGAUUGGGAAACAACGCAGGGAGGGUGCUCCCCACCUCCAUGUCACGAUGUGUGAUCGAUCAUCUAUGGUACAAUUGAAGUGUGAGGAUGCAGAAAUGGAAGAAUAACUGGCAAAGCAAAUGUAAUCAUUUCAGAAUUUACCAAAGGAACAAACCAUAAUCUAACUCUCAGAUAAUUAGAGAAAAUCGAGCAAAAACCUCCUCCGAUGACGCAGAACCUAAUCAGGAUAUCAAAACAUACCCCCUUGAUUUCAAAAAAAAAAGUUUAUCCUAAAAAAUUAACAGAGGUGUGAAAUGAUUUUGAUUGUCCUACUUUAACGAUAUUUGAUGCUAAUUGAAUGCCACAUGUGAGUGUACAUGCUAAAUAGACAACAAUAAUAAUAUGUUCUGGGACAAAUUUUGAAUGCAGUGACUUGUUUUGUUUUGGUACAGAGGGACUCCAAUUUGUUAUAACCUAAAGCUUCCACAGUAUUUUCUCUAAGCAUGGACAAAAGCUGCAAGCGGGAGACUAAUCACGCAGAUUGUCAUUCGGAGGUCGGACAUUGCCAUGAGACAUCAGACAUCAGUGGUCUGCUUUCAUUUUGGUGAGUAGAGAAAAGAGAAGAGAUCAAGAAUCGAUCAACUCAUCAAAUGACGUGUUGAUGAGCAAACGAGAGAGCGCCCACCAUGCUGAUUGUUUAUUUUUCGUUUAUGAAAAUACUUCCUCCGUAUCAAAAUAUUUAUUGCUCUUAACUUUUCUCGUAAUAUUUAAGCAUUCAUCUUAUUUAAAGAUUUAUUAUGAAUGUACGAAAAACAUAAGUUACGCUUAAAAUAACUUUGAUGAUAAAGCAAGUCACAAAGUAAAUAAAUGAUACUUACAUAUUUUUUAAUAAGAUGAAUGGUCAAAAGUCAUGAUCAAAAGUUAACGGCGACAAAUAUUUUGAUACCGAGAUAGUAUAUAGCAUCAGUGCACUUAUUUUUGGUUCACCGGCGAAAAUCCAGAAACUCUCAAAAUUCAGUGAAAUUUCGCAGAUCGAAUGCAAUGCCACUUGCCAAGUGUCGUCGACACAUACCCAAAACUUGCACAAUUUGGUAUGCACAAGACACCAAAUUUAGCAGCAACAUAUUCGAAUCGCCUGCACUCUCUCCACCUUUCCGAAUUCAGAAAGGCACCCAAAGAUAUUAUGGCCUUGUUUGGCAUGGCUCCAGCUCUGGGUGGAGCUGCUCUACUCCAAAACUCCAGGUAGAGUCAGCUCCACUCCAAAACUCCAGAAAUAAAAUGGUGUGUUUGGCUAGAUGGGUACUCUCAGCUCCAAAAAAAAAUCAAUUUCAAUGUUAAUUGCCAUUGUUGCCCCCAAUUCAGGCCCUACUUGUCAUCCUCUCCCCCUCCUUUCUUCCUCCUUUCCUUUUCCUCUCUCUGCCGUUGCCCACUGGUCACCCGAAGGAAGAGGAGGGGAAGGCACCAGCAGGUGGGUGGUGCUGCCGGCGGCGGGAGGUGCGGCCGGUGGCGGGGCUAGCGCGGGCGGCGGGGGGUGCGGCCGGCGGCGGGGCUCGGGCGGCGGCGGGGGCGGCUGGCGGCGGGGGGUGCGACCGGUGGCGGGGCACAAGCGGGCGGCGGUGGGGGCGGCCGCCGGCGGGGCUCGGGCGGGCGGCGGGGGGUGCGGCCGGCGGCGGGGCUCGGGCGGGCGGCGGGCGGUGCGGCCGGCGGCGAGGGUAGGGCGGGCGGCGGUGGGGUUGGUCGGCGGCGGGGCUCCAAGGCCGGAGCGCGCGGGACGGAGGGGCCACGGCGGCCGGCGGCGGGAGCGACGGGCGGCGCUAGCGCGGUGGAGACCGGUGGAGACGAGCACAUGGAGUCUCGGAGGAAAAUAGAACGAACCGUUUUUUCUAUGUAACCAGUGGCAUUGGUGGGUAAUUAUCCACCAACUCCACGAGGAGGUUGAAAAGAGUGGUUUCUGGAGUAGCAAAAGAGGUACUCCAAAACUCCACCUCCAUUUGCACUACAGCUCCAUGGAGUUGGCAACUCCAUGGAGUUUUGGAGUUAGGGUGUUUGGCUGAAUUUUUUGAUGAAGUUGCUGGAGUUUAGGAGUGGAGCUGUGCCAAACAGGGCCUAUAUAUAGGGCUCAUUUGGUAGGGCUCCGGGAGCGACUUCUCUCGAAACCCUGCUAAAGGGCGCGCGCGUAGCAAAAUGGCUUCGGCUCCGGUGGCAGAGCCCCGCAAAUCGCGCUCUCUGGAGCCCUUUCGGGGAGGCGGAGCCAAAAAAACCGGCUCCCGCGGCUCCUCCUCGGCCGUUUCCCACGCUUGCCCUUGAGGAGGGCCCGCAGGUAGGCCAGGCGACAGGGAGCUGGCCGGCACGGCGACGGGGGACCCGAGGGCCGGGUGGCAACUCAAGGCGGCGCGACGACGGGAUGGCGGUGGAGCUCGGUGUUGGCGGCGAGCUGAGGCGGAGCAACGCCGGGGACCCGAGGGUCGGGCGGUGACGGGGAGCGCGUGAGGGAGAAAGCGGUGGAAGCUAGAGGAGACGAGAAAAAGAUAAGGCAGAUGGAGAUGGGGAACACAAAGGAAAAAGAAAAGGGGAAGGGAAAAAAAGAAAAAAAGAAAAAGGUGAAGGAAAAAAAGAAAAAAAGAAAAGGAGAGAGAAUUCCUUUUCAUUUAUUUUUUUAAUUCAAAUGGACUUAAAUUAUAAUUAUUCGAAGUCAUAAAUGCCAAAUUGUGAUUUUAUUUGUUGCAGGGAAUAUGGGUGGGGGUGCAGACGAAGAAGUCAUACCCGGACUUCGUCGGUUUGUUCGACGCUCUUGUCGACACUGACGUGAGGUGGAGACCCUACACCUUCGAGGAGGUGCAGGCUCGUGCCCCGCAUGGCCUCUCUUCGCUGUGCCAUCGGGAUAUGGAGUAUUGGAGGACGAUGAGGCCACUAGUCUACGACAUCCACGUCGAGGACUAUGCGGUUCACCGUGUGAUGAGGCAGUUCGGCCUGUACCAGCACUCCCCACUUCCGGUUAUGUCUGUUGUCCCGACCGUCGUUCAUAGGUACACCCCCAGCCUUUUGAUUGACCUUGAAAUGUUAAUUUUUCAUUUAUAUAACUUGUGCAACAAUGGUUCCAUUAGGGCUAGCCGUCAGGGUGGUGGUGGUGGUGGGCCUGGAGUCCAAUGGGCUCCGAGGAUGGUUCAGUGGGUCGACAUGUGGAUGACCGCACUAGAUGAGGUGGUGCAGGAGGCCCGUGCACACGACAAUGACGCUUUCACAGCGUACCUUCAGUGGUUCUUAUCGAGGACCAGGACGCGCGUCACGUAUGUUCCGAGGGAACCACCGACGGAGACCACGCCAGUCACGCAGACGUAUUCGCGUUCGAGAGACAUCAACUUGAACUACACGGUAAGCUACUAUAUAUUUUUUACUCAACUUGCAUCAUUUGGUGUGACUAAUUUGAACCAUUUUCUCUCCCCAAAAGUACGACGUUAUUGCUGAGGUAGCCACAAAGCUGACAUACGACAUCGACCACUACGAUGACGUGACUGCUCAUUAGCACCGGACGCUGUACAGGAGGGUCCGGGACACCUGCAGUAGGUUCAUGAGGGCUGUCAGCUGCCAUGGCGGUCACGGGGAUGUCAUACUUCCACCACGGGCGGCCUACCCCUAUUCGUCCUGUCCAACUCCUACUCAGCAGGCAGGUACGUCCUCUCAACCGCCUGUUCGUCCACCACCGGCCGGGACGUCCUACGCCACACCAGCACCACCACCGUCUUGGUAUGCCACACCUGGUCCGUCCACUGUUCCGCAGAACGUCUUGCCGACAGCCACGCAGAUGCAUGCUGGUUAUACUGGAGUGUGCUCCUCGUGGCCCUCUUCAGCUGCACCAGGCACAGAGAUACGUCCAGCAAGUGCGUGAUGAAUACAUUUUUUCUAUUCCUUUUUAAUUACGCAACGGAGCUAACAAAACCAUUUCCUUUGUUGCAUAACAGGGUUCGCAGGCCGCGAAUGGGUUUCGGAGGACUCCAUCGACGAGGGACAGAGGUCCAGCACCCACGCCUGGAUCGACGACCUUUUCCGAGUCGAGCCUGACGUGAUCGGUCCCUCCCAGUUGCCUGACGCCCCGCAUGGUCCUCCACCGGGCGUGACCCAGUAUCUUGCGACACCACCUGCGACGGCACCACCAGAGGCGGCAUCAGGACGACGUCCGACUUGCGACGUUGGCCCGCCGAAGCUGUUGAUGUACGACCAGCAGCAGACCAGAGCAGCGUAGCGGGCAGCGAGGCGUGGUCGUGGUGCCGGUGAGCCUCGUUUCAAGCGAGGACGCAUUUAGUGCGUAGGAUGACUUGUAUCUUUUAUCAUGUGUACGAUUGUGUAACGUACGAUGUGUGCUCAUUCGUGAACUACUCUAUCUAGAUCAGAAGUUUAAUGCUUUUCAAUGAUUUCGUGCAUUCACUAUACAUGUCUAAACAAUUUUGAAAUAAUUAUUAAAACUACAUAAUUGAAAUAAUCGAUCAAAAGGAAGGACAAAUAUGCGGCAAAUAAUGGAGUACAUGACCUAAGGACAACACAAUGAAAGGUCCAACAGUGCACAACAUUAUCCAUGAAUAAACCAUGAAACUAGCCAAUAAUAGAGACUACUGAGUACAACGAGGCCACUUUCCCUUAGGGCAUCGGGAUUCUCCUCGAUCGCUGCUUUCGCUCGGCGUGCACGCUCAAGCUUCCCCACCCUCUCCUCCCUCUCAGCAGCAACACGCCUCCUUUCCUCCUCUUCCUUGUGCUCCUUCUCUGCAACCUUCUCUCUGAGUCUCUUCUCCAUCCUCUCCUUGUUCUCUGCCGCCCACCGCAACAUGUACUGCAUCUCCUCCUUGUCUUCAAGCUUGAUCUCAGUGUCAAUCCACUGCUCAAAAUCACAGAGCAGUGGAGGGGUCUGCAACAAAUGCAAUUGUUACAAAACAAAACAAAAUCAUGCAAGAUGUCAUAUGACACGAAAUAAUUAUUACAGAACAUCAAUUCCUCACCAUCUUGUUAAUGCGGCGCUAACAAAGCAUAGGCUCAAACUGAAAGUUUGAACACAUUCAGUAGCUCUGCCUAUACGUGUCCUCUGCAUCGAACUUAGCUACCUUGCAAGGAUCGUCGCAAAAGCACAUGGGCAGUGGAACACCACUAGGCAGAGGCAAAAGGUCGAAGGCAUUUCCGGUCAACGGAGCACCACUCCACCUUUACCGUUUUCAUUGUAAGAACCGAAAGCAACUAAGGGGCUGUUUGGAUACGAGGUGCUAAACUUUAACAGUGUCACAUCGGAUGUUCGGAUGCUAAUUAGGAGGACUAAACAUGAGCUAAUUAUAAAACUAAUUGCAGAACCUUGUGCUAAUUCGCGAGACGAAUCUAUUGAGCCUAAUUAAUCCAUCAUUAGCAAAUGGUUACUGUAGCACCACAUUGUCAAAUCAUGGACUAAUUAGGCUUAAUAGAUUCGUCUCGCGAAUUAUACUCCAUCUGUGCAAUUAGUUUUGUAAUUAGCUUAUGUUUAGUACUCCUAAUUAGCAUCCAAACAUUCGAUGUGAUAGGUGUUAAACUUUAACGGGUGUUUCCCAAACACCCCCUAACAUGAAACCAUACGACUAGCAUUUAACGUAAUAACGUGCACUGAGAUUACCUUGGUUUCCUAGCUUUUCACGUCUUGGCAUCCUACGGUUGUAUAAUAUAAAUAUUAAAAUUGCAUCAAACUAUACUACGCUAGAAUUACUAUGAACUAAAUACUAAAUCUACUAUACUAACUAAUCUAGAUUUUUGUACAUCUAAAACUACCAGAUAUUUCUAAAUCUACUAUACUACAAGAUUGAAAAACAUACCUGUUGACAAUAGCUUCUUCCCCUUCUUUCCUCUCUUUCUUUCUUUCUUUCCUUCCUUCUUUCGCUUCUUUCUUCUCUUCCUUUCCUUCCUUCUUUCCCUCUAUGGUUCCCCUUGCACUCUCUGUAAACCGAGCGAGCGUGGCGCUUAAAUAGGGCGAACCCACACCAGUUCAUCCGGCGGUAAGGGUCCUUACCGCUGUUUCAACCAACGGGGGUACCUCGAUCCGCGCGCGCACUACUUCGGCGGCAGCGGUAAGGGGGUGAGGGCCUUACCGUUGGUUGAAACGGCGGUAGGGCUCUCCCGCCUACUGAAAUGGCGGUAGGGACCCGCGUAGGGGCUGUCAGACCCCUACCGCCGGUUGAAACGGCGGUAAGGGCCAUACCACCGUUUCAGCCGGCGGUAUAAACCCAUUUUUGCAAAUUUUUUAUUCGACUGUAUAUUUCUGCAAAAUCGAAAAAAAAUAAAAAAAUAAAAAAAAAUUUGGAAGGGAGAAAGGCCGUAAGAGACCGUGGCCCGGGUGGGGGUGGACUGGAUCGGGUCCAACCGAGUUAGGCUCGGCCCAAUGGAAAAGAAUUGGCUAAUAAAUGAACGCGCUUGAUUUUUCCUUUCUAAAAAAGCACGCAUGCUUCUUUGAUCGCCGUGAGAAAUAGCAAGAAAAGUUUGAGAAUGAUUAAAAGUUUGAGCCUGGCAGUGACGGGCGCUGAUCGGAAUCAGAUCAGCUCGUGGCCAAUGAUCUGAAGAACAAGUUCAUGUUCAGCUGCACAGCCAUGACCUACUGAAGAAGAAACCACCACGAAUCUCACCCCCAACUCAUCACCGGGGUAACCGCGCCGGAUAUCCAGAAAUCACCCGCUCGAGCGCGCGGAUCUUGAGGAGCAGCCACCUCGCCCUGACGCUGCUUGUGCUCGGUCGGCGGCGACGCCGGCCAGCAGCCGGGGCAAGAACUCGACAGAAAUAAGGGCCACGUCUGAAGGAGGAAGACAACGAACGAGCACUCACCUACGUAACCACGCUGAAUCGCUGAUCACAUGUUGCAAAAGGUUCCUGUCCCCAGCUCCCCUCGAUUGCCGGUCGAUUCCCGGCGGCGAGGCUCCGAUCCGGCGCCGCCGGCCUGGAAACGUAUGCACGAUGCAUAUCCAUCCAGCCACAAAAUCGACUUGAAAAAUUAAAGGAACGCGACGGAAACAAGAGGAAAUCAUCUGUCUUUAUUCAUAGACAGCUCCACCACCGAUCUGCUACAGCCGACCGAUUGAACAGUAGCAUCCACCCACAAGCCACAAUCCACAAGAUAGAAAGCGAAGCGCAGCAGCAGGCCAGAACCCUCACCCGACGGCGGCGAGCGGGACCACCACUCCCCUAGCGGCGCCAGAGGCAGCGGCAGCGGAGGCGGCGCGCGACGACAUUGGCGACGGCGACGGCGGCGGCCGCGGCAGCGGCGGCGUCGGCGACGGGGUCGAGCGGGUCCCCCC
Molecule: long non-coding RNA, 25712 nt
Filed under: Setaria viridis
Lineage: Eukaryota; Viridiplantae; Streptophyta; Magnoliopsida; Poales; Poaceae
Description: long non-coding RNA (SVIR_LNC000089)
Rfam family: Small nucleolar RNA R11/Z151 (bases 14281-14381)
Source: RNAcentral